UGGCUCGUUAGGUGGAUAUCUUGUGCCCU
RNAcentral lists this non-coding RNA (29 nucleotides) under Rattus norvegicus (Norway rat). The record is from RNAcentral. Lineage: Eukaryota; Metazoa; Chordata; Mammalia; Rodentia; Muridae.